UGGAGCAAAACCCACCCUUCCCAGAGGUGGUGCUGGGAAGGGGCCGGGCCCUUCCGCCUCUCCGGUUUCGGGGGGCCUCCUCUGCCUCUCCCGCCCCUUCCCUCCGCCGACUGGGAGGAAGUGCCGGGGCGCAUGGCCACAGAGCAGGGGCUGACUCAGCAGUGGACACGAGCCCAAGGCUCAGACCGUGCUCAGAGCUGCAGGCAAGGGGCCAUCGGCAGCGACGGCAUCGCUCGCCCGGUGGGCGGGAAGGAUGGGGCUUGUGCUGCUCUCCCCUGGCACAGCACCAGCGUGGGCUGCCCCACCAAGCAAGCCCAGAGCAUCCUGGGGGGAAAUGCUGGUGAGUACCUCCAUUGCAAGGAUGUGCACAGGCCAGACAUUGGGAGCUGCCCAACUCCACCAGAGCCAGGCCAGCAGGGAUGGCCAGGAUGAUGGUGCGUUGCUGGUCUCCUGCUCCGGCUGCUCAUUCCACACCCAGGAGCCUUGGCCUGCCCUUCCAGGCAGCUGCACUUAGUCCCUGUGUGGCCAUGCUUUGGAUGGGUUUCAUUACUCCUGCAGCACUGCUACAGGACUACACUGACCUUGUCACCCUCAAUUCUGGAUUUCAUUGCACCUCCAGCCCCAGUACUGAGGAGGGAAAGUGAUUCAAGCACUUACUCUGACCCCCAGGCUGCUAUCAGGGCACACACUGGGCACCUCUGAGAGAGGUUUUUAUGACUGCAGACACUCCUUACUCUACGUGAUCCUUAAUUUCUUUGUCCUCUGCUUCCCACACAAACCACACUGCCAGCAUGCAAGAGUGUUGGGAUGGAAUACUUUAUUCACGUGAACACUCAGAUCCUGGCCCUUCCUGCCUGCUGCAGCUGCUCCCAUCUUCUUGACAGCGUGAACAAGGAAGGAUUUCUUCACCAGCUUGCUUAACCCCCCCCAGCAUCAUCAGACCCCACAAACAAGUACAGACAGUUUGGCUUUGUCUGGACAGGAGCAGAAGGCGGAGGGGCAGGGAGUGCUGCGGGGCUGGCAGAGCAGGGAGAAGGGCUCCAGCCCACAGCUUGCGUAUGCACUGCAGCCAUGAAACCUUCCUGCAGCCCCACUCUCACCACCAAACAUGCCAGUACUCUCCCAGCCUUGGUGGUUCCUCCUGCUGCCAGAAGCACCUGGGAUUGGUAAAGGAUGGGUG
Molecule: long non-coding RNA, 1180 nt
Organism: Corvus hawaiiensis (hawaiian crow)
Lineage: Eukaryota; Metazoa; Chordata; Aves; Passeriformes; Corvidae
Exons: 2
Source: RefSeq, a predicted model, not a curated record